This 257-nucleotide ribosomal RNA is filed under the name Alexandrium margalefii. Its description in RNAcentral is "partial Bacterial large subunit ribosomal RNA". It matches the Rfam family "Bacterial large subunit ribosomal RNA", at positions 1360 to 1723 of the family's 2925-position model. The record is from RNAcentral. Lineage: Eukaryota; Dinophyceae; Gonyaulacales; Pyrocystaceae.
UAAAGCUAAUCUGAGCAGGGUAAGCCGACCCCUAAGGCGAGGCCGAAAGGCGUAGUCGAUGGGAACCAGGUUAAUAUUCCUGGGCCAGAUGGAAGUGACGGAUUGCAGAGGUUGUUCAUCCUUAUCGGAUUGAAUGGGCUGCUUAGAGGUCCCUGGAAAUAGCUCCAUCGCUAGAUCGUACCCUAAACCGACACAGGUGGACUGGUAGAGAAUACCAAGGCGCUUGAGAGAACGAUGUUGAAGGAACUCGGCAAAAU